This 1359-nucleotide ribosomal RNA is filed under the name uncultured bacterium. Its description in RNAcentral is "bacterial SSU rRNA". It matches the Rfam family "Bacterial small subunit ribosomal RNA", at positions 28 to 1381 of the family's 1533-position model. The record is from RNAcentral.
AUUGAACGCUGGCGGCAGGCUUAACACAUGCAAGUCGAGCGGGCGAGGUUGCUUCGGUAACUGAGCUAGCGGCGGACGGGUGAGUAAUGCUUAGGAAUCUGCCUAUUAGUGGGGGACAACAUUCCGAAAGGAAUGCUAAUACCGCAUACGUCCUACGGGAGAAAGCAGGGGAUCUUCGGACCUUGCGCUAAUAGAUGAGCCUAAGUCAGAUUAGCUAGUUGGUGGGGUAAAGGCCUACCAAGGCGACGAUCUGUAGCGGGUCUGAGAGGAUGAUCCGCCACACUGGGGCUGAGACACGGCCCAGACUCCUACGGGAGGCAGCAGUGGGGAAUAUUGGACAAUGGGCGAAAGCCUGAUCCAGCCAUGCCGCGUGUGUGAAGAAGGCCUUUUGGUUGUAAAGCACUUUAAGCGAGGAGGAGGCUACCGAGAUUAAUACUCUUGGAUAGUGGACGUUACUCGCAGAAUAAGCACCGGCUAACUCUGUGCCAGCAGCCGCGGUAAUACAGAGGGUGCGAGCGUUAAUCGGAUUUACUGGGCGUAAAGCGUGCGUAGGCGGCUUUUUAAGUCGGAUGUGAAAUCCCUGAGCUUAACUUAGGAAUUGCAUUCGAUACUGGGAAGCUAGAGUAUGGGAGAGGAUGGUAGAAUUCCAGGUGUAGCGGUGAAAUGCGUAGAGAUCUGGAGGAAUACCGAUGGCGAAGGCAGCCAUCUGGCCUAAUACUGACGCUGAGGUACGAAAGCAUGGGGAGCAAACAGGAUUAGAUACCCUGGUAGUCCAUGCCGUAAACGAUGUCUACUAGCCGUUGGGGCCUUUGAGGCUUUAGUGGCGCAGCUAACGCGAUAAGUAGACCGCCUGGGGAGUACGGUCGCAAGACUAAAACUCAAAUGAAUUGACGGGGGCCCGCACAAGCGGUGGAGCAUGUGGUUUAAUUCGAUGCAACGCGAAGAACCUUACCUGGUCUUGACAUAGUAAGAACUUUCCAGAGAUGGAUUGGUGCCUUCGGGAACUUACAUACAGGUGCUGCAUGGCUGUCGUCAGCUCGUGUCGUGAGAUGUUGGGUUAAGUCCCGCAACGAGCGCAACCCUUUUCCUUAUUUGCCAGCGGGUUAAGCCGGGAACUUUAAGGAUACUGCCAGUGACAAACUGGAGGAAGGCGGGGACGACGUCAAGUCAUCAUGGCCCUUACGACCAGGGCUACACACGUGCUACAAUGGUCGGUACAAAGGGUUGCUACCUAGCGAUAGGAUGCUAAUCUCAAAAAGCCGAUCGUAGUCCGGAUUGGAGUCUGCAACUCGACUCCAUGAAGUCGGAAUCGCUAGUAAUCGCGGAUCAGAAUGCCGCGGUGAAUACGUUCCCGGGCCU